This 301-nucleotide ribosomal RNA is filed under the name uncultured bacterium. Its description in RNAcentral is "partial 16S ribosomal RNA". It matches the Rfam family "Bacterial small subunit ribosomal RNA", at positions 509 to 807 of the family's 1533-position model. The record is from RNAcentral.
CAGCAGCCGCGGGAAUACAGAGGGUGCGAGCGUUAAUCGGAUUUACUGGGCGUAAAGCGUGCGUAGGUGGUGGUUUAAGUCCGUUGUGAAAGCCCUGGGCUCAACCUGGGAAUUGCAGUGGAUACUGGGUCACUAGAGUGUGGUAGAGGAUAGUGGAAUUUCCGGUGUACCAGUGAAAUGCGUAGAGAUCGGAAGGAACAUCUGUGGCGAAGGCGACUAUCUGGGCCAACACUGACACUGAGGCACGAAAGCGUGGGGAGCAAACAGGAUUAGAUACCCCCGUAGUCCCUGUCUCUUAUAC